GUCCUACCAACAGAACAAACCCCCGGCCUUAAAUGCCCCAAAGGAUCUUAAAUGGAAAAAAAAAGGAAGCCACCCCCUAACCUGGCCGGAAACGAAUUUCGCAGGGGGGGUGGUUUCCUUUGUUAAAAACUAAAUUACUCUUGGCCACGGAAUUCUUGGCUCUCCCCUCCAUUAAAAACCUUACCAAAUGCGAUACUUGGUGGGAAUUGGAAAAUCCCCUUGACCAUCCAAUUUUUGAACGCAAGUUGCCGCCCAAGCCUUUCGGGCCAAGGGAACUCUGGCUGGGUGGCAUUGUUCGGUUCCCCCUUCAAAUUCCUUUGGGGGGAAAAUGGAAUAGGGGCGGAAAUUGGUCUCCCCUGGGGUCCCGCUCGGGGUUGGCCGAAAAUCCAGUCCUUUGUGAUUGUGCCCCC
This 410-nucleotide ribosomal RNA is filed under the name Passiflora misera. The record is from RNAcentral. Lineage: Eukaryota; Viridiplantae; Streptophyta; Magnoliopsida; Malpighiales; Passifloraceae.